This 186-nucleotide small RNA is filed under the name Rattus norvegicus (Norway rat). Its description in RNAcentral is "uncharacterized LOC102549728". Lineage: Eukaryota; Metazoa; Chordata; Mammalia; Rodentia; Muridae. The record is from RNAcentral.
CUUCAGUGUGCUGAAGAGGAUUCAGAACUGCGAGAAGAGUGUCAGCCAGAGCUUUCCUCUACUCUGCAAAUUAAAGAUACAACUUUCUCCAUCUUGGACUCAACAUGAGAAAGCAGAGCUGACACCAUGUCACAAACAGAAUUGCUCAGUUUGGAAAGGGCACAUAUCGAGCUCAGGAGAUGGCAU